AGCGAACGCUGGCGGCAGGCUUAACACAUGCAAGUCGAACGCCCCGCAAGGGGAGUGGCAGACGGGUGAGUAACACGUGGGAACGUACCCUUUGGUUCGGAAUAACUUGGGGAAACUCAAGCUAAUACCGGAUAAGCCCUUAUGGGGAAAGGUUUACUGCCGAAGGAUCGGCCCGCGUCUGAUUAGCUAGUUGGUGAGGUAAUGGCUCACCAAGGCGACGAUCAGUAGCUGGUCUGAGAGGAUGAUCAGCCACACUGGGACUGGGACACGGCCCAGACUCCUACGGGAGGCAGCAGAGGGGAAUAUUGGAAAAUGGGGGCAACCCUGAUCCAGCCAUGCCGCGUGAGUGAUGAAGGCCUUAGGGUUGUAAAGCUCUUUUACCCGGGACGAUAAUGACUGUACCGGGAGAAUAAGCCCCGGCUAACUUCGUGCCAGCAGCCGCGGUAA
This 447-nucleotide ribosomal RNA is filed under the name uncultured bacterium. Its description in RNAcentral is "partial 16S ribosomal RNA". It matches the Rfam family "Bacterial small subunit ribosomal RNA", at positions 29 to 523 of the family's 1533-position model. The record is from RNAcentral.